Molecule: ribosomal RNA, 467 nt
Filed under: uncultured bacterium
Lineage: Bacteria
Description: partial 16S ribosomal RNA
Rfam family: Bacterial small subunit ribosomal RNA
Source: RNAcentral
ACGAACGCUGGCGGCGUGCUUAACACAUGCAAGUCGAACGGAAAGGCCCUGCUUUUGUGGGGUGCUCGAGUGGCGAACGGGUGAGUAACACGUGAGUAACCUGCCCUUGACUUUGGGAUAACUUCAGGAAACUGGGGCUAAUACCGGAUAGGAGCUCCUGCUGCAUGGUGGGGGGUGGAAAGUUUCGGCGGUUGGGGAUGGACUCGCGGCUUAUCAGCUUGUUGGUGGGGUAGUGGCUUACCAAGGCUUUGACGGGUAGCCGGCCUGAGAGGGUGACCGGGCACAGUGGUGCGAAGAGGCGCGCGGGAGGAAUGCGGGUGGAAGCAGGGGGGGUGGGGGCGGAAGGGUCGGGGGCCUGAAGCAGCGGCGCCGCGUGGGGGAGGACGGCCGGCGGGAUGGAAAACGCAUGCGCCGGUGACGAACGUUCCAGGAGGGUAGUGAAUAAGAGAGCAACGGCGAACUACGUG